CAUGCAGUCGAGCGGAUGAGUGGAGCUUGCUCCAUGAUUCAGCGGCGGACGGGUGAGUAAUGCCUAGGAAUCUGCCCGGUAGUGGGGGAUAACGUCCGGAAACGGGCGCUAAUACCGCAUACGUCCUACGGGAGAAAGCAGGGGACCUUCGGGCCUUGCGCUAUCGGAUGAGCCUAGGUCGGAUUAGCUAGUUGGUGAGGUAAUGGCUCACCAAGGCGACGAUCCGUAACUGGUCUGAGAGGAUGAUCAGUCACACUGGAACUGAGACACGGUCCAGACUCCUACGGGAGGCAGCAGUGUGGGCGAAAGCCU
Molecule: ribosomal RNA, 312 nt
Filed under: Ectopseudomonas mendocina
Lineage: Bacteria; Pseudomonadati; Pseudomonadota; Gammaproteobacteria; Pseudomonadales; Pseudomonadaceae
Description: bacterial SSU rRNA
Rfam family: Bacterial small subunit ribosomal RNA
Source: RNAcentral